AGAAUCAACGCUGGCGGCGUGCCUAACACAUGCAAGUCGCACGAGAAAGGGUAGCAAUACCUGAGUACAGUGGCGCACGGGUGAGUAACACGUGAAUCAUCUACCUUCGAGUGGGGAAUAACUGGGAGAAAUCUCAGCUAAUACCGCAUAAUACCCACGGGUCAAAGCAGCAAUGCGCUUGAAGAGGAGUUCGCGGCAGAUUAGUUAGUUGGCGGGGUAAUCGGCCCACCAAGACGAUGAUCUGUA
RNAcentral lists this ribosomal RNA (246 nucleotides) under uncultured bacterium. Its description in RNAcentral is "partial small subunit ribosomal RNA". It matches the Rfam family "Bacterial small subunit ribosomal RNA", at positions 26 to 285 of the family's 1533-position model. The record is from RNAcentral.